This 253-nucleotide ribosomal RNA is filed under the name uncultured bacterium. RNAcentral's name for it is "partial 16S ribosomal RNA". It matches the Rfam family "Bacterial small subunit ribosomal RNA", at positions 524 to 776 of the family's 1533-position model. The record is from RNAcentral.
UACGGAGGGAGCUAGCGUUGUUCGGAAUUACUGGGCGUAAAGCGCACGUAGGCGGCGAUUCAAGUCAGAGGUGAAAGCCCGGGGCUCAACCCCGGAACUGCCUUUGAAACUAGAUUGCUAGAAUCCUGGAGAGGUUAGUGGAAUUCCGAGUGUAGAGGUGAAAUUCGUAGAUAUUCGGAAGAACACCAGUGGCGAAGGCGGCUCACUGGACCGGUAUUGACGCUGAGGUGCGAAAGCGUGGGGAGCAAACAGG